CGCGGCCUAUCAGCUUGUUGGUGAGGUAAUGGCUCACCAAGGCGACGACGGGUAGCCGGCCUGAGAGGGUGACCGGCCACACUGGGACUGAGACACGGCCCAGACUCCUACGGGAGGCAGCAGUGGGGAAUAUUGCACAAUGGGCGAAAGCCUGAUGCAGCGACGCCGCGUGAGGGAUGACGGCCUUCGGGUUGUAAACCUCUUUCAGUAGGGAAGAAGCGAAAGUGACGGUACCUGCAGAAGAAGCGCCGGCUAACUACGUGCCAGCAGCCGCGGUAAUACGUAGGGCGCAAGCGUUAUCCGGAAUUAUUGGGCGUAAAGAGCUCGUAGGCGGUUUGUCGCGUCUGCCGUGAAAGUCCGGGGCUCAACUCCGGAUCUGCGGUGGGUACGGGCAGACUAGAGUGAUGUAGGGGAGACUGGAAUUCCUGGUGUAGCGGUGAAAUGCGCAGAUAUCAGGAGGAACACCGAUGGCGAAGGCAGGUCUCUGGGCAUUAACUGACGCUGAGGAGCGAAAGCAUGGGGAGCGAACAGGAUUAGAUACCCUGGUAGGCCAUGCCGUCAACGUUGGGCACUAGGUGUGGAGUACGUUCCACGUCUUCCUCGCCGUAUCUAAUGUAUUAAGUGCAGGGCGUGUGCAGU
Molecule: ribosomal RNA, 639 nt
Filed under: uncultured Cryobacterium sp.
Lineage: Bacteria; Bacillati; Actinomycetota; Actinomycetes; Micrococcales; Microbacteriaceae
Description: bacterial SSU rRNA
Rfam family: Bacterial small subunit ribosomal RNA
Source: RNAcentral